Molecule: ribosomal RNA, 312 nt
Filed under: uncultured eukaryote
Lineage: Eukaryota
Description: partial 18S ribosomal RNA
Rfam family: Eukaryotic small subunit ribosomal RNA
Source: RNAcentral
CCCCUAGAUGUCCUGGGCCGCACGCGCAAUACAAUGUAAAGUUCAGAAAGCAUAUCCUGUUCCGGAAGGCAAUGGGUAAUCUUUUCAAUAUUUUACGUGUUAGGGAUCGAUCUUUGCAAUUAUAGAUCUUGAACGAGGAAUACCUAGUAAGUGCAGCCCAUCAGGCUGUACUGAUUACGUCCCUGCCCUUUGUACACACCGCCCGUCGCUCCUACCGAUUUCGAGUGGUCCGGUGAAUCUUUUGGAAUUAGAGUGCAAACUCAAACUAAGAUCGAUAAACCUUAUCACUUAGAGGAAGGAGAAGUCGUAACA